CAGGGAAGACUCACAUAGAGGCAGCAGUAGAGAAUCUUGUGCAAUAWACGAAAGUAUGACACAGAGAGGACACAUUUAAUUGAGCCCGUCAAAUUAAGUGCCAGCCGACGCGGUUAAACUUAAGGGCUGGUCUUUAUAAGUAAAAAGGCGUAAAGGAUGUGUAGGCCAAGAAACGACCCAAGAAGGUAAAUGGAAUUUUUCUGGAGCGGUAGAAUGUGAGGAUAGAAAAUAGAACCCCUAAGGUUAAAACUAUUUACCACAAGGUAGGCUGAAACAUGAGUGUGUGGGGAGCAAACAGGAUUAGAGACCCUGGUAGUCCACACUGUGAACUUUGAAGAUGAUGCUUAGCAGACCCGAAAGGUAAAAUCUUCCGCCUGAGUAGUACGAUCGCAAGAUUAAAAUUCAAAAACUUUGGCUGUUCACUAUUUCGAUUAGAGGAGCGUGUAGUUUAAUUCGAUGGUCCGCGUGUUACCUUACCCCAACUUGAAUCUGUGACCGGUAUUGCAUGGCCGUCGUAAGUUCGUGUAUUAAGCUAGAAGGGACCCAACCCGGGCAUUUGCCCGGAGGAAGUCAGGUYUUAUGAUCCGAAUGUUGGGGGAUUUUAUGCGCUACAUUUUCUUAUAUAAUGGGAGACCUGGAAGGUGAGCCUCUAAAGUAAGAGUUCGGAAGGUCGCUGUAAGACGACUGGAAGUUGGAUUUAAUAGUAAUCGGAAAGUAGGGCGUUCCGGUGAAUUGGUACAAGUGUUAGCACAAAUUGCCCGUCGCCUUUACCUAGAAUGGUUAUUCGGACGCSUUCGGWGRYURCGAAUGC
This 811-nucleotide ribosomal RNA is filed under the name Urticina crassicornis (mottled anemone). RNAcentral's name for it is "partial 12S ribosomal RNA". It matches the Rfam family "Bacterial small subunit ribosomal RNA", at positions 327 to 1446 of the family's 1533-position model. The record is from RNAcentral. Lineage: Eukaryota; Metazoa; Cnidaria; Anthozoa; Actiniaria; Actiniidae.